ACAAAAAUUAUAGAUAUAAAUUUGAGAUUUCAGUAUCACUUGACUCGGCUUCUUGGACUUGUGUCUCUUCCAAAUUUAUUUCAGCCUCAGCAUCUUCCUCAUUCAUAAACUCAAGAUCCAUGCUGCAACAUCAAUAAAAAAAACCUUUGUAAGUUCCUGUUAUAUUGCAAGAUCACAAAAACCUCACGUAUUAAACCAUUUUCAGCUUUGCUCAAUCAAAUCAAAAGAUAAAACUUAGACACUUCUAAUGCCAAAGUGGAUAAUUUCAAAGCAUUCAACGUGUUCUAAACUGAUAUUUUCUUUUAUAUAUGGAAUGCUUUGAGAAUGGGUUAACCGGGCAGCCCAUUUUCAUUGGGUUUUUUAAUUUUCAUUGUUUUUUUGGUUUCAAUUAUGGACUUUACUGUCGUAUUUGCUCGGCAGCUCAUCAUCCAAACCCAAACCCAAAAAGUUUGUAAGUGCCAAUCCCCAUAGUCUAUUUGGUGGUGGUGUAGACCUUUUCUCCUUGGUGAUCAUUGCUGUGAUAUUCGUGGUGAUUGUGCAUGUCUUCCUUAGGUGAAUAAGAGCUUGAUAAAACCAAUUUUUUAGAAAGAAAAAGCUUAAUUAGGCAACAAAACAUUAUGAGAAAAAGAAAAUAAAUUAAAUUGAUAAGAAAAUAAACAAAACAUAAGCAAAAUUUAAGAAAAUAUAUAAAUUCAAAAAAAAGACCAAAAAUGUAGAUAUAAAUUUGAAAUUUCAAAAACUAGGUACAUUGGCUAAUAUAAUAUAGUCUCAUAUGAUAGAGACCAUGGUUUAUAAAUCAGCAGAUCAUAACCAGUAGGGUCAUAAUUCGGAACCUCAUAUCAUAGAAUUGAAGGUCGAGGCGACGGUGGUGACAGUGAGAAUUAUAUGUUGACAGAGGAUCAAAGUACAAAGACGACUGAUAAAAAACCGGACACGGAAGCUUUGAUGGCGGAGAAUCAGAGUACGAAGACGACUGAUCAUAAGCCAUAGAGUCUCUUAGAGCAUGAAACAGAGUGGAGGAAUAAUGAAAAGGGUAAUCAGUAUGGAGCACAGCAAGGCGUAGAAAAUUUGAACCCAAGUGUGGCGAUCAAAAAUGCGACGACUCAACGGCUUUGUUCUUUCGUUUAUACUCUGUUUUUUAUAUUUUUAAUAUAAAAAAAGAGCUGUGAGAAGAAGAAUGAGAGUAAUAAUAAUAUUCAUGUUGCAAAAGUAAAAAAAAAGACUUGCGUAACAAAUAUUAUAUGGAGCUCAUUUAAUUUAUCAUUUAUCACUUAUUGUAAUAUUUUUGUAUUUUUUGUGUUAUAUAUUUGCUCUUUCAUUCAGUUGUAAAAACAUUCAUCUUCAUACAAAGAAAACCAACGUAAAGCUUUUUUCUAUUAUUACUCUUUUUUCAUGAUUGCUUUCCUUCUCAUAUUUCUUUCUCUUAUAGUAUAUUU
This 1436-nucleotide small RNA is filed under the name Arabidopsis thaliana (thale cress). RNAcentral's name for it is "ATSL078960". The record is from RNAcentral. Lineage: Eukaryota; Viridiplantae; Streptophyta; Magnoliopsida; Brassicales; Brassicaceae.